RNAcentral lists this ribosomal RNA (274 nucleotides) under uncultured bacterium. RNAcentral describes it as "partial 16S ribosomal RNA". It matches the Rfam family "Bacterial small subunit ribosomal RNA", at positions 523 to 796 of the family's 1533-position model. The record is from RNAcentral.
AUACGGGGGGUGCAAGCGUUACUCGGAAUCACUGGGCGUAAAGCGCGCGCAGGCGGCUAUUUAAGUUGGAUGUGAAAGCCUACGGCUCAACCGUAGAACUGCAUCCAAAACUAUUUGGCUAGAGUGUGGGAGAGGAAGAUGGAAUUAGUUGUGUAGGGGUAAAAUCCGUAGAGAUAACUAGGAAUACCAAAAGCGAAGGCAAUCUGCUGGAACACUACUGACGCUGAGGCGCGAAAGCGUGGGGAGCAAACAGGAUUAGAAACCCUAGUAGUCC